This 497-nucleotide ribosomal RNA is filed under the name uncultured bacterium. RNAcentral describes it as "partial 16S ribosomal RNA". It matches the Rfam family "Bacterial small subunit ribosomal RNA", at positions 28 to 507 of the family's 1533-position model. The record is from RNAcentral.
GAUGAACGCUGGCGGCGUGCCUAAUACAUGCAAGUCGAGCGAACGGACGAGAAGCUUGCUUCUCUGAUGUUAGCGGCGGACGGGUGAGUAACACGUGGAUAACCUACCUAUAAGACUGGGAUAACUUCGGGAAACCGGAGCUAAUACCGGAUGAUAUUUUGAACCGCAUGGUUCAGAGGUGAAAGACGGUCUUGCUGUCACUUAUAGAUGGAUCCGCGCUGCAUUAGCUAGUUGGUAAGGUAACGGCUUACCAAGGCAACGAUGCAUAGCCGACCUGAGAGGGUGAUCGGCCACACUGGAACUGAGACACGGUCCAGACUCCUACGGGAGGCAGCAGUAGGGAAUCUUCCGCAAUGGGCGAAAGCCUGACGGAGCAACGCCGCGUGAGUGAUGAAGGUCUUCGGAUCGUAAAACUCUGUUAUUAGGGAAGAACAUAUGUGUAAGUAACUGUGCACAUCUUGACGGUACCUAAUCAGAAAGCCACGGCUAACUACGUG